GAUAAGACAUGCAAGUCGAGCGCGCAUUUCGGUGUAGCAAUACAUCGGAGUUUGAGCGGCGCAAGAGUGCGUAACACGUGGGUAAUUUGCCGUGAAGUUGGGGAUAACUCGCUGAAAGGCGAGCUAAUACCGAAUGUGGAAUGGAGGUGGCAUCACUUUUUUUCUAAAGCUGAGGAUCGUAAGACCUGGCGCUUCAUGAUAAGCCCGCGGCCUAUCAGCUAGUUGGUGCGGUAACGGCGCACCAAGGCUAAGACGAGUAGCUGGUCUGAGAGGCCGACCAGCCACACUGGAACUGAGACACGGUCCAGACACCUACGGGUGGCAGCAGUCGAGAAUUUUUCUCAAUGGGCGCAGGCCUGAAGGAGCGACGCCGCGUGUGGGAUGAAGGGUUUCGAUCCGUAGACCACUGUCAUUUGUGAACAAUGGUCAUUAUUUAAAAGAUGGUGACUUGAUAGUAAUGAAAGAAGAAGGGACGGCUAACUCUGUGCCAGCAGCCGCGGUAAUACAGAGGUCCCGAGCGUUGUUCGGAUUCACUGCGCGUAAAGGGUGCGUAGGUGGCAUGGUAAGUUUGAUGUGAGAGCUCAGGGCUCAACCCUGAAAUGGCAUUGAAUACUACUGUGCUGGGAGGUUUGGAGGGGGGACUAGAAUUCUUGGUGUAGCAGUGAAAUGCGUAGAUAUCAAGACGAACACCAGUGGCGAAGGCGAGUCCCUGGACAACACCUGACACUGAGGCACGAAAGCUAGAGGAGCAAACAGGAUUAGAUACCCUGGUAGUCCUAGCCCUAGACGGUGCGCAUUUG
This 800-nucleotide ribosomal RNA is filed under the name uncultured bacterium. Its description in RNAcentral is "bacterial SSU rRNA". It matches the Rfam family "Bacterial small subunit ribosomal RNA", at positions 47 to 819 of the family's 1533-position model. The record is from RNAcentral.